Molecule: ribosomal RNA, 301 nt
Filed under: uncultured bacterium
Lineage: Bacteria
Description: partial 16S ribosomal RNA
Rfam family: Bacterial small subunit ribosomal RNA
Source: RNAcentral
CAGUAGCCGCGGUAAUACGUAGGGUGCGAGCGUUAAUCGGAAUUACCGGGCGUAAAGCGUGCGCAGGCGGUUGUGUAAGACAGGUGUGAAAUCCCCGGGCUUAACCUGGGAACUGCGCUUGUGACUGCACAGCUAGAGUAUGGCAGAGGGGGGUGGAAUUCCACGUGUAGCAGUGAAAUGCGUAGAGAUGUGGAGGAACACCGAUGGCGAAGGCAGCCCCCUGGGCCAAUACUGACGCUCAUGCACGAAAGCGUGGGGGGCAAACAGGAUUAGAUACCCCUGUAGUCCCUGUCUCUUAUAC